AGGUUGACCUCCGAUCAGGUAGGAACCCCCCACA
RNAcentral lists this ribosomal RNA (34 nucleotides) under Pseudonectria buxi. RNAcentral describes it as "partial 28S ribosomal RNA". Lineage: Eukaryota; Fungi; Ascomycota; Sordariomycetes; Hypocreales; Nectriaceae. The record is from RNAcentral.